Molecule: long non-coding RNA, 167 nt
Organism: Triticum dicoccoides
Lineage: Eukaryota; Viridiplantae; Streptophyta; Magnoliopsida; Poales; Poaceae
Exons: 3
Source: RefSeq, a predicted model, not a curated record
CGGCGAGCUGGACUUCGAGUUCCUUACAGAAAGGACUGCAUACAUUGGACACUUGGCUGGAGGUUUAAUUCAUCUGACAUUGUCUUAACUAACUAGGAAGCUGCCAAGCCAGGCACAAGCAGAGAGCUCCGUAUCAUUGAUCCAUAAGAAGCUGGUAAUGGAAAAUC